AUAAAACAGGGUGUAACACCCCGGUCUACAUCUUGGCAGAGACACAUAUACGUAUGUUGUAUACCUGGUUCCUAUUUUGAACAUCUACGUGUACUUUUUGUCUUUUUGACAUCCAUCAGCUAACUUCGUUGAUUUAAGGUAGACCAGAAAAGCCACAUCCCUGAUUGGCAGAUGAGCGGCAACCCUGAUUACAAGCACCUGCUGCUCAUCGGUUCCUUACAAAAUGCUGUUUUGAAUUAGAAUAAAGUUGUACCUAAACACCGAAGAAGGCUGUAAAGAAAGUCAGACCAACAAGAUCAACAAGAGAAUGGGUGGAGAUAAAUCAAAAAACCGAGUGGAUAAGGCAGAGAAAGACCUCGAUCAAGCCAAAACGGGAAAAAAGAAAGUGAAGAAGGGAAAGACGACUGAAAACGAUUACAACCAACUCCUUGCUAAGAACGUGAGACUGGAAACAGAACAAAAGAUGGAAGAAGAACGAAGACAGGAGCUCGAGAAGGAAAGACUACAAUUAAUGGAACACAAUAGACAGCGAGAGAAAGAUGAAAGGACCAGGAUUAAGCAGGAAAAAGAGAUUGCAAAAGGAGAUCAGAACACUGUAUAAAAAAAGGGCAUAAACUGGGGCAUAAACUGUUUAAUUUAUCCACAAAAUGUAUUAUUGAACAAAGCACACAAUCAUUGUAAACUUUUAAUAUCUACAAUUGCACUGCCUGUUUUAUUUUCCUCAAAUGAUGUGCUUAAAGGGAUAGUUCACACAAAUUACAGUGGUUUUAUAACCCUGUUAGCAGUCUUUUGGUUUUGUUUACCUGGCUGCUGUCGCCAAAUGCUUUUCAAAACCAAUGCCUGUCAAUAUCUGAGAAUCCUCUGUAACGUUGCAAUAAAUAGAUUCUAUUGAU
Salmo salar (Atlantic salmon) is the source of this 893-nucleotide long non-coding RNA. RefSeq lists it as uncharacterized. Lineage: Eukaryota; Metazoa; Chordata; Actinopteri; Salmoniformes; Salmonidae. The record is from RefSeq and is a predicted model, not a curated record.